GGGCGUGGUUGCACAUGCUUGUAGUCCCAGCUACUCGGGAGGCUGAGGCAGGAGAAUCGCUUGAACCCAGGAGGCAGAAGUUACAGUGAGCCGAGAUCGCGCCGUUGUACUCCAGCCUGGGCGACAAGAGCAAAACUCCAUCUCAAAAAAUAAUAAUAAUAAUAAUCCAAGAUCUGGGCACUAGGGGUGCUCACUGUUUCCAGAUCUGUAGAAAAUACAUAUGCCUAUACACACACACAUAGAUAUAUACACACACAUAGAUAUACAUCUGUAUUUCCAGCUAUCCAUAUUGGAACUGGAUUUGUACUGAUAUCUCCAAUUUCAAUCCACCCAGCCAGAAGUUGGUCCAGUCUGACCACUUUCCUAAUUUGCAACUCCCUUCUCCGAAACGAGAGUCCUCAAAUCCUUCAUCCCCGAUGCUUUUACUUAUUUGUGCAAUCCCCAGCCCUCUCCAACGUCUCUUUCUUGGCUCCUUGGCAGGUUAAAAGCUGGCCCUCAAGGAGGAGGGAAAGGGGAAGUAGGAAAAAGGAAGAAAUGAAUGGUCUGAGAGUUCCCUCUGUUUGCAAGUGAACAGUGAGCCUGCCAGUGUUCUGAACAUGGGCAAGACAUGAGACACCUGGGUCUGAGACAAAGACUUUGUUACUCACAGCACAGCAGGCAGCACGAGCUUCAUAUUCCCCCCAGCCCCCCAGCCCCACGGACAAUGAGGAGUGGCUCCGGUGGAUGCUGUACACACAGCUAAGGAACCCUGGGUUAGGAAACACCAGUCAUUUAAAGGACUGCUAGCAAACCUGCCCAGUUUCUGCCCAGAGGGAGAAGCCAUCUUUAUUAUCUUGGACAGCAAGCAAAUUUGCCCUCUGCCUGGAGGGAGACACAUGCAUGACGCUGAGGAUUCACGUGUGGACAUUGGGACCCCAGGGCCUGAGCUGAGACCCCAGCACUGCCCUUUACUCUCUGGGACCUUGGACAAGUGACCCAACCUCUCUGUGCCUCGCUGUCCUCAUCUGGAAAAUGGAGACAAUAACUGUAUCCAGGUCACUGCUUUCUUAGGAAGAUUAGCAAGACCAGUAUACAACGUGCCAGGGUCAUCUAUGCUGGGAAGGGCUGAGUGGGCUGCAGACAGGGCCAUGGAUGGCCUCUCUGAGCAGGUGCUUUUGAGACCAGACCAGUGGAAGUGGGGAGCAACCUUGCAGCUGGUCUGGGUCAGGCGCAGGGCAAAAGCCCAGGGCAGGGAGCACUUCAGGUGCUCGAGAAGUGGUGAGAAUCCACGGGGAGCAAGAGCCCAGGAAGCCAGGCAUCGACAAUGGAGUUCCCUCUGAGCACCUGAGACGGCUGUGCCGGGGACUCCUGAGCAGAGGCCAAUGCAGCCAACUCGCAUUUAAGGGCCCGCUGGCUGUCGUGGAAGUGCCUGGAUACUCAGGAAGAGCUACAAGCAUCUGGAGGCGGCCCAAGGGUGCAGGACCGUCGCACAUCGCAGCGGGUCAACCCCCCGGACACUCCUGCUUGGCCCCCAUUCACCCAGGAGCACCUUUCCACUGGGAAAAGCAAAAUGUCCUUUCUUUUUGGAGCUGAGGAAACUCAAUCUCUCAUUUACCUAUGAAAACAACAGUUGAGUUCCUCAUGCAAAUGUGCAUACAAGGCAAUGGAGAAGACCCUUUAAAAUGCACCUCCGAACUAGAAUUAGGAUCCUAAACAACAACUUCCCAGGGGGAAAAAAUCCCAGCCAAGACCACUUCCUAUAAACUGUCCUCAGCCACCCCUAACUUUGUAGCUCUCGCCCACCAUGAUUAUAAACGCCAAGCUCAAAUCCUCUCAUAGCGCAAGGUCAUCUCUGGUACCCCCACAAAGCCAAAGAAUACAGGUAAUGUAGCAGGAGCCAGAGCCUUAGACCCAGAAGGACCUGUCCAUGACUCUUGAAACGCCACCAAGAAAACAGAACACCCCAAAAGGGGUGAGUGGUGCCAUUGUUCUGAGUUCUUUACAGGAUUUGAGUCAUUAGACACCUCUAGAUUUUUUUCUUGGUACUGAAGUUGGUGAAGGGGAAGGAGGAACAGGGUGGAAGAAAAGUAAGACAGGAAGCAAACAUGGAAACCGAGAGCGCGACCGGGAGCGAACGCGGAAACCGAGAGCGCGACGGGGAGCGAACGCGGAAACCGAGAGCGCGACCGGGAGCGAACGCGGAAACCGAGAGCCUGACGGGGAGCGAACGCGGAAACCGAGAGCCUGACGGGGAGCGAACGCGGAAACCGAGAGCCUGACGGGGAGCGAACGCGGAAACCGAGAGCGCGACGGGGAGCGAACGCGGAAACCGAGAGUAUGGUUUUGUUUUGGUUUUCUCUUUUGCAUCUGUGAGGAAUUUUAGGUAAUUCAGAAAGUCCUUGUUCCCCAUAAUUUGGAAUUCUCAUUCGGAUUUGACCAAGGCAGGUAGAGUGGGUCAAAUCUAAUGGGAGAAAGACCGGAAAACAUUUUUUUAAAAAAGAUCCCAAC
This 2487-nucleotide long non-coding RNA is filed under the name Homo sapiens (human). Its description in RNAcentral is "HSALNT0216771". The record is from RNAcentral. Lineage: Eukaryota; Metazoa; Chordata; Mammalia; Primates; Hominidae.